Erpetoichthys calabaricus (reedfish) is the source of this 1844-nucleotide RNA transcript. It is a transcript of the gene named butyrophilin subfamily 1 member A1-like, with no coding region annotated. The transcript has 12 exons. NCBI's taxonomy places the organism in Eukaryota, Metazoa, Chordata, Cladistia, Polypteriformes, Polypteridae. The record is from RefSeq and is a predicted model, not a curated record.
ACUACUCCUUUUAUUUUAUUACACGCCAUCUUCUCCUUCUACAGACUGAUAAGACAUUAAGAACAUGAAAGACUGACACAUUGGCCAUGAAGUUCACAGACCCCUGAUGAAGGACAAAUCCUCGUGAUGUGUGAGCUCUAAAUGGGGAAAGUGGAGAGAAAACAAAGUGAAAGAACCAUGAACCUUCAGAUGCGAUGGACUCUUCUUAUCUUAUUGUUUCUACACAACACAGAUAUCUCCUGGGCAGACAGCUUCAUCGUCGUCGGUCCUUGCAAGCCCGUCGUCACUUAUGUCGGUGAAGAUGUGGUCCUGCCAGCCUCCCUCUCACCAGCGCUUAAUGCUGAGGCCUUUGAAGUGAGGUGGUUUACAACGGACAUCAUGACACCAGAGCUGUUAUACAUCAAUUACAAUAUCAGGAUACAGAGUGACACAAGAAGAACCCUGAGCAUAGACAACCUCAAGAAUGGCAACGUGUCUCUAAUAAUCAGAAAUGUCCGUGUUUCUGAUGAUCAUCUCUACAAGUGUUAUGUGUACUCGGGACAAAGAGAUGAUGAGACUGAGGUCUCACUCACUGUUGAAGUUUUAGGUGCUCAGCCCUCCAUUACCAUGAGCUCCACUGAAGGCCAGAAGACCCGACUGGAGUGCAGUGCUGAGAAGUGGAACCCCCAACCAGAAGUCACCUGGAGGGACAUGAAUGGGGCAGAUGUGACGUCACAGUCCACAAUAAAGUCAGAGCGGGACUCCGAGGGUCUUCUGAGAGUGAGCAGCGUCCUCCCGGUGAAGGAGGAGUACAACGUGUUCAGCUGUCUGAUGAGAAGUAAAGCACCAAAGCCAGACUGGCCAUCUGAACUCAACGUCUACAGUUUCUCCCCAGGGGUCUCUGGCUGGUUGGUGGCUUUCUGUGUCUUGUUGGUUAUUUGCUUAGCGGUGACUCCGCUGCUGGUCAUUCAAUGGAGAAGAAUGAGAGAAACAAACACCAGAUAUGAUUCAAUAGUUGGAUUCCUUCCUAUAUGGUUCCUGCACAAGGAAAUUGAAAAGUCACAACGCGUCACGAAUGCAGAAUGGAGGAGAAUAUGCAGCUCAGCAGCUGAUGUCACUUUUGACCCUGAGACUGCACAUCCACGGCUCAUUGUGUCUGAAGACGGGAAAGAAGUGAGACACACAGACACACGACAGAGAGUGACGGACAAUCCAAAGAGGUUUGACCGCUGUGUUAAUGUCAUGGCCAGAGAAGGAUUCACGUCAGGGAGACACUACUGGGAGGUGGAGGUCGGGGGGAAGACUGAGUGGACUUUAGGAGUCGCCAGAGAGUCGAUCAACAGGAAGGGGGGGAUUACACUGAGCCCAGAUGAUGGACUCUGGACUGUGUGGCUGAGGAAUGAGAACGAGUACACAGCUAACAUUGGCCGUCCUCUCCCCCUCCCCCUGAGAGUGAAGCCCCAGACAGUGGGGGUCUUUCUGGACUAUGAUGAAGGUCAGGUCUCCUUUUACAAUGCCCAGUCCCGCUCUCACCUGUACACCUUCACAGACUCCUUCACUGAGCCCCUCUAUCCGUACUUCAGUCCUUGUCUUAAUGACGGUGGUAAAAACUCGGCCCCUCUGGUCAUCUGCCCCCUGCGCACACACUGACCCCUCAGUAUUAAUGUCGUCUGUCCAUCUCUGAGCAGCACAAAGCCGAUGGAGACUUUCUUUAACAUCAGACCACCGAACUCAAAGCCCCCCUGAGGUGUCCUGCUGUUUGCUGCUCGUCUGAUUUUCAUUUUCAGGAUUUCUGUGUUUAAUGAGACAUCAGGACUGAACACUUGGGAUUUUUAAAUGGCGUCGGAUCAAAGAGUUGGCUCCGU